CGGGGCGGCCACCGUAGAGCCCCGGGCGGGGGCGCCGGCGGCGGCUACGCGGAGGCGCUGCCUGGCCGUGCCGGCGGGGGGCGGUUCCUCUUCCAGCGCUUCCUCCUCGCCGGCGCGGGGCCGCUGCCGAGCGUUACCGGGCUUACGCCAAGCAGCCUCCAGAUCUCGCCGGAGUAACGCCGCAAGGAGAGCCUCGAGUUACUGCAGCGCGAAGAUUCAUGGCAGUGGGAAGAAAAAAGGGCCUGCAACUGACAAACAAAAAAAAAAAAUAAAAAGGAAGGAGACAGAGGGGACAAGAGCAGCCAGGACAAAAUGGAAGAGGGAUUUCCUGUGGAUGUUGCUUGAAUUGUGCAUUCAGCCCUGUGUGGAAUAUGCAUUAGUGUUCACAGAUCAGCAGAAAACACAUGUGCAUUUUAAUAUCUACUUACAUGCUAUGUCACAGACACAAAUAAAACUUGAUUUAAGAGUAUUAA
Falco peregrinus (peregrine falcon) is the source of this 473-nucleotide long non-coding RNA. RefSeq lists it as uncharacterized. NCBI's taxonomy places the organism in Eukaryota, Metazoa, Chordata, Aves, Falconiformes, Falconidae. The transcript has 4 exons. The record is from RefSeq and is a predicted model, not a curated record.